This 253-nucleotide ribosomal RNA is filed under the name uncultured bacterium. RNAcentral describes it as "partial 16S ribosomal RNA". It matches the Rfam family "Bacterial small subunit ribosomal RNA", at positions 524 to 776 of the family's 1533-position model. The record is from RNAcentral.
UACAGAGGGGGCAAGCGUUGUUCGGAAUUACUGGGCGUAAAGGGCGCGUAGGCGGCCUGCUAAGUCGAACGUGAAAUCCCCGGGCUCAACCCGGGAACUGCGUCCGAUACUGGUUGGCUUGAAUCCGGGAGAGGGAUGUGGAAUUCCAGGUGUAGCGGUGAAAUGCGUAGAUAUCUGGAGGAACACCGGUGGCGAAGGCGGCAUCCUGGACCGACACUGACGCUGAGGCGCGAAAGCUAGGGGAGCAAACGGG